This 788-nucleotide ribosomal RNA is filed under the name uncultured Candidatus Zhuqueibacterota bacterium. RNAcentral's name for it is "bacterial SSU rRNA". It matches the Rfam family "Bacterial small subunit ribosomal RNA", at positions 133 to 917 of the family's 1533-position model. Lineage: Bacteria; Pseudomonadati. The record is from RNAcentral.
UAGGACCGGGAUAACACUGCAACGCGGUGCUAAUACCGGAUGUUGCCCGGAUGCCGGAGGGUAUUCGGGUGAAAGGCGGCUUUCGGGCUCGUGCCUGGGGAUGGGCCUGCGUCCCAUUAGCUUGUUGGCGGGGUAACGCCCACCAAGGCUGCGAUGGGUAGCCGAUCUGAGAGGGUGGACGGCCACACUGGGACUGGAUACGGCCCAGACUCCUACGGGAGGCAGCAGUGAGGGAUAUUGCGCAAUGGGCGAAAGCUGACGCAGCGACGCCGCGUGCGGGAUGAAGUUCUUCGGAGCGUAAACCGCUGUAUAGAGGAAGAGUGGGUCUGACUCGAAGAGGGUUGGAUCAGGGACGGUACCUUUAGAGAAAGCCCGGCUAACUCCGUGCCAGCAGCCGCGGUAACACGGGGGGGGCGAGCGUUGUCCGGAAUUUUGGGCGUAAAGGGCGCGCAGGCGGGAGAUCAAGUCUGAGGUGGAAUAAGUCGGCUUAACGGCUGAGGUCCUUGGAUACUGGUUUUCUUGAGUGCGGGAGAGGGAAGCGGAAUUCCUGUGUAGCGGUGAAAUGCGUAGAUAUCAGGAGGAACACCGGAGGCGGAGGCGGCUUCCUGGCCGUUACUGACGCUGAGGCGCGAAGGCGUGGGGAGCAAACAGGAUUAGAUACCCUGGUAUCCACGCGGUAAACGAUGGGUACUGGGUGUAGGUCGGAGACGAUCUGUGCCGGAGUUAAACGUUAAGUACCCCGCCUGGGGAGUACGGCCGCAAGGUUGAAACUCAAAUGAAUUGACGGG